RNAcentral lists this small RNA (3494 nucleotides) under Rattus norvegicus (Norway rat). Its description in RNAcentral is "uncharacterized LOC102546692". The record is from RNAcentral. Lineage: Eukaryota; Metazoa; Chordata; Mammalia; Rodentia; Muridae.
CUUAACCACUGAGCCCUCUCUCCAGCCCGGGCAACUUCUUAAACACAAUAGAGGAAGCCUCUUUCCCCCUGCGUUUGUAAACCCUGUGCCAGGAUGCAUAGCCAGCAGAUUGCAGAACAUUUCAGCUACCCACCCACCUCCAUAGCUGUGCACUUUCCCCGGAUAUAAAUGUAAGGUUCAAUUGCCAGCUCACUUGGUCGUAACCAACCUGGGCGAGUAUCUCUACCCGUGUUUUUCUGUGCCAGAUAAAAUGGAGGCUGUGUUAAAAAUCAUUUUUUCCCGCACUCUUCCUACCUGCCGUGUGGAUGAAAAUCGGGAGCCCUUGGGAUAUGGAGCUAUUUAAAAAUAAAUGUGCAUAUGUAACCGUAGCGAGCGAUUAUAUCCAUCCUGAAUGGACUUUGCCCUAAGAAAAAUAAAAAGUCAAGCUUUGGGGUUUUAUUUCAUUUCCCAGAACCCAAGUGGAUUGGGCAUGAUUGAAUCGCCUGUGUUUGGCUGGGCUCCUCUAUGUAAUACUGGCUUGUCGGACUGGUUUGAGUGGACCCAGCUGUAAAACUAAGAAGCCCCUCUGGACACAAUCUCUUCCCAGAUGCUGAAAAUACCUCCUCUUUGAGAAGUUGGGGGAAAUAAUUCUGCUCCAACAAUAGGACAUUCUUUCUUCUUGAAGGUUUUGUUUUUACAGGGAAUAGGAGUGGAGCGAGAGGUUAUGCUGUGCCACAAGGCACUGCCCAGAGCUGGGACACAGUCCUAACCUAGUUAGGAGACUGGGAAUUUGAUCCAGUACCCUGAAGAGAAUAUUGUUCUGUGUUUCACAUUAGACACAGCGCCCUUGUCCCGACGGCGCAUCUACGGUGACUGCAUGUACAUACGUGCACAUGUGGGGCGAGAAUCCCUAAGGUUCUUGGACCCGAGUUUGUUUUUACUUCUGCGGGCAUCUCGGUCAAAAUCCCAGCCCUGACAUCGUUUGCCAAGUUGCACUAGAAUAGCUGGGCUUAUGCUGUGGGCGGGCAGCUCCUUCUCUCCCUACCGGUGGCUUUGUGGAGUAGCUGCCGAGCUGUGACCUCCGGCGGGAACUUGGUUGCUUUUGCUUCCCACUCAGGGUGGACUGGCUACUCGGCCCACACAACCUUCUAAAAAGAUGGCUGCCUUUUUUGGCUGUUGUUGUUCGCCACUUAGUUGGAGAGUCUUGCUUCUUGAUUCAAUCUGAGCAGCUGUGAGAGCUAAGAUUGAAACAAAACAAAAAAAGCUUCACCUCUGUCUGAUGUUGACUUUCAAAUUGGCUAGAAGGCUCCUGGGGAUUAGACAGAAAAUAUGUGCUACCUUCUUGGGAGGAUAAUUUUUCUUUCUUUUUAAUAGAAAACUUCUGACUUAGACAAAAAGGCCAAGAGAAUCUAUUUUUAAAAAAGCCAGAGUAUCUCAUGUGGCUAUUUCGAUGGAAAACAAAAACGAUACCUAAGCCUUGCACGGCACCUUUCUCCCUAGGCAGGAACCACAAACUUAGGAAGUUAGUGGUAAUAACUCAGCUCACCGGGGAUCUAAAGUAAUUAAAGGGGUUUUGCAAAAACUCAACCCGGAAUGGAUUCAAUCUGGAUACCCCUGCCUUCCUUGGGAAGUAGUUGAAAAUACACAUUCAGAUUUCAGAUAGAAAAGUAUUUUGGGACUGGGGGGCAUAUGCAGGUCAUCGCAAGGUGUUUGCCCAGUGCACAGGGCCUGGCUUCAAUCACAGCUUGGUCAAAGAGAGAAUGUUUUCUGUUUGAUUCUGUACCACUGUUUCCACUUCCCCUUCAGCUUAUCCUCCUUCCACCAGUACUGAGGAAACACUGUUGCAGCUUUUUACCUUGAAGUCGUGAAGAACCUCACGCCCAAGUCAAAGAAAGCCUGUCGUUAUUUUUCUUAAUUAUUUUAGAAAUGUCAUCUCCAAUACCAUCCACUCUCUUGUAACUCCCGAGGAGAAAAUUGAAUAAGCACCCAUUUCCCGGACAUCCGCUUUAAAAAAAGUUUGCAGUCAAUUUUUUUUUUUUUUUUUUGGAUGGCUGUGAAACCAUUCAAUGAUAUGGGCAAAGCCUGCAGGAUGAUAGGAGACCCAUUCCAUGUAAUCAGAAAAAAAAAUAUUAUGGUGUACACAGGCAGACGGCUUCGCACAGUUCGGCUAGUUUAGGUUAAGAAAUGUUUUCUCUCAGGAAAUGCCUUUAAAACCGGGGCUACAUUUUAUUUAAUGAUGUGGAAAAAUUCCACAAAAUAUCCUUAUGAGAAAUGUAUUUAAUUUUCUCUUUUUAAGCCAGUCAGCAAGUAAAGUGGGCUGCAUAUUGCUCGCAUUACUAACACCGCCUGGCAGCGGUACUGAAAUAUGCCUGGUCAUGCACAUUCAGAGGUAAUGUUAGUCGGGAGCACUCCUACGGUUGCUUAGCACUUUCCAGACACUGAUUGGCUUCAGCUGCUGAGAUGUCUGCCGCUAGAUAUUGACAGAUGUUGAAAUAGAGAGUAAACUCCUCUCGCUUCCCCCCACCCCCACCCCCGGCCCUGUGCACAAAGGAAUAAGCCAAACUGCAUCUUGCCAUCCCCAAACAAGAUUCUUGCCUUCCCUCAGCUUUAAUGACCGCGCUGAAGGAAGCAUUUGGGCCCUGAUGGAAAGGAACAGACAUCAACCUUGGCACCAUCAGGGUACGCAGGGGAAGGAAGGAAAAGGCGCGGGGAAAUGGGACCUGGCUGUCGGCGAGCAUCUUACUUCCCUCCUACUCAGGCAGCCAGGCUAACUCAAUUUAUCCUUCUCAGGGUUUAAUCAUAAACAGGUCACACUGUGUCCUCCUCUGGGUCACUUGGUUUCUUUUCUGCCCUUUGGUGGAGGCGGGCUUGCUCUCCUCUGCUCUAUAAACACUGCGAGGCAAUAAUGACAUUCUCAAAAUACGUGGGAUUCGGUUAUGAAAACCACUGGGUCGACGGUGAUAAAACAGUGUUCUAAAUUAUCUUCCCCCCCCUAUAUUUACAAUUUGCAAACUCUAAUUUUUACCCUGGUAGAAAGUAAACGGUAAAGAUAGGCUGAUUUUUUUUUCCCGGGCAGAGACCAGUGCGAUAGAAAAUUCUUGGUGUACAUGAAAAGUAUCUGAUUUAUUUAAGAUUUCCUCUCUCAUUUGACCUUCAUUCUGGAUCGCCGCAGCUCAAGGCAACUUGUCUGAGAACUACAAAGAGAACGUGCAUUUUCAGAAGUCAGAUAUGCAAAGCAAGGUUCUUAUGGGCAGGGCUGCUAAGGCAUUUUAAUUCUGUUAAAGCUGCCACGGGGUUGUUUUUCGUAUUUCUUUUUAAUAGCAUCGACUUCUACAAAUUUUGAAUAUGUACACUGAGAUGUAGGAACACAGUUAAAUGGCGGCUCUUGACUGUGUCGCAGAGGUCAUGUUCUACCCAGAGGUAGCCAACACAUGAUGAUUCCAAGUUGGGCAUUGUCUCCAAUGUGGGUUCCAGUUGAUGACAUUGGAGUAUUUCUAGGGGCAGGAGAGAUGGCU